This 302-nucleotide unclassified non-coding RNA is filed under the name plant metagenome. RNAcentral describes it as "partial contains 5.8S ribosomal RNA, internal transcribed spacer 2, and large subunit ribosomal RNA". The stretch from base 1 to 105 matches the Rfam family "5.8S ribosomal RNA", at positions 50 to 154 of the family's 154-position model. The record is from RNAcentral.
GAAAUGCGAUAAGUAGUGUGAAUUGCAGAAUUCAGUGAAUCAUCGAAUCUUUGAACGCACAUUGCACCCUUUGGUAUUCCUUAGGGCAUGCCUGUUCGAGCGUCAUUUAAACCUUCAAGCUCAGCUUGGUGAUGGGUGACUGUCCCCUCCUCGCGGGGGGACUCGCCUCAAAAACAUUGGCGGCCGGUACAUUGGCUUCGAGCGCAGCAGAAACGCGGUCUCGAGCCCGGUGGAUCGGCUCCCACAAGCCUAUUCUUUUAUUUUGACCUCGGAUCAGGUAGGGAUACCCGCUGAACUUAAGC